UGCCAGCAGCCGCGGUAAUACGGAGGGAGCUAGCGUUGUUCGGGAUUACUGGGCGUAAAGCGUGCGUAGGCGGAUCGACAAGUUGGGGGUGAAAUCCCGGGGCUUAACCCCGGAACUGCCCUCAAAACUGUCGAUCUAGAGACCGGGAGAGGUAAGCGGAAUUCCUAGUGUAGAGGUGAAAUUCGUAGAUCUCUGGAGGAACACCAAACGCGAAGGCAUUCUGCUGGUCAUUACCUGACGCUGAGGGACGAAAGCGUGGGGAGCGAACGGGAUUAGAUA
This 279-nucleotide ribosomal RNA is filed under the name uncultured bacterium. Its description in RNAcentral is "partial 16S ribosomal RNA". It matches the Rfam family "Bacterial small subunit ribosomal RNA", at positions 506 to 784 of the family's 1533-position model. The record is from RNAcentral.